AGUGAACGCUGGCGGUAGGCCUAACACAUGCAAGUCGAACGGCAGCACAGUAAGAGCUUGCUCUUACGGGUGGCGAGUGGCGGACGGGUGAGGAAUACAUCGGAAUCUACUUUUUCGUGGGGGAUAACGUAGGGAAACUUACGCUAAUACCGCAUACGACCUACGGGUGAAAGCAGGGGAUCUUCGGACCUUGCGCGAUUGAAUGAGCCGAUGUCGGAGUAGCUAGUUGGCGGGGUAAAGGCCCACCAAGGCGGCGAUCCGUAGCUGGUCUGAGAGGAUGAUCAGCCACACUGGAACUGAGACACGGUCCAGACUCCUACGGGAGGCAGCAGUGGGGAAUAUUGGACAAUGGGCGCAAGCCUGAUCCAGCCAUACCGCGUGGGUGAAGAAGGCCUUCGGGUUGUAAAGCCCUUUUGUUGGGAAAGAAAAGCAGCAGGUUAAUACCCCGCUGUUCUGACGGUACCCAAAGAAUAAGCACCGGCUAACUUCGUG
Molecule: ribosomal RNA, 492 nt
Filed under: uncultured bacterium
Lineage: Bacteria
Description: partial 16S ribosomal RNA
Rfam family: Bacterial small subunit ribosomal RNA
Source: RNAcentral